GACCGGGAAUAGCCUCUGUGAACGGGUGCGAGUUCAUAAAGAACAAAUAAAACACCCACAAGACAGAAACCCGCCAAUUAGUGCCCAUCUUGACACUUGUGGUAAAAAACAUUUUCAAAUAAUACCUUUUUUUAAAUGUAGACGGGAUGAAGCCUAUCGAAAGGAGAUGGAAUGUUAUUUCAUCACAACGUUCCGAUCAAAAUUAAAUCCCGA
Molecule: long non-coding RNA, 213 nt
Filed under: Mytilus galloprovincialis (Mediterranean mussel)
Lineage: Eukaryota; Metazoa; Mollusca; Bivalvia; Mytilida; Mytilidae
Source: RNAcentral